AUUGGAAACUGGAUGACUGGAGUGAGAUAGAGGGUAGUGGAAUUCCGGGUGUAGAAGUGAAAUGCGUAGAUAUCGGGAGGAACAUCCGUGGCGAAGGCGACUACCUGGACCAGCACUGACACUGAGGCACGAAAGCGUGGGGAGCAAACA
RNAcentral lists this ribosomal RNA (150 nucleotides) under uncultured bacterium. Its description in RNAcentral is "partial 16S ribosomal RNA". It matches the Rfam family "Bacterial small subunit ribosomal RNA", at positions 625 to 774 of the family's 1533-position model. The record is from RNAcentral.